Glossina fuscipes is the source of this 1948-nucleotide long non-coding RNA. RefSeq lists it as uncharacterized. NCBI's taxonomy places the organism in Eukaryota, Metazoa, Arthropoda, Insecta, Diptera, Glossinidae. The record is from RefSeq and is a predicted model, not a curated record. The transcript is spliced from 3 exons.
GGUUAAAAGUCGCAUAAUGAAGUAAUAAAUUUCCCGUUUCUUUCAUUUUAACUGAAGAAGAAUAUCAAACAUUUAUUUAUUAAAAAUAAAAUUUCUAACAAUAAAUUAAUCCAAGAUUCCGCCCGCGGGUUGCCAAUGAUUAUGUACGCUUAGUGUUAGUCCAAAUUAGUCAAAUUACGAUUUAAAUAUUGAAUAAGUCGUUUACCCUGGGAACACAUAUUUAUUUAAAUUAAAAAAAACAUAUUUUCUUUUCUUGGGAUUCGCCUGGUGUAGUAAACCUAGUGGCUUGUUCUUGACAUAAACAAAAAAAAAAUCGAAAUGUAUGCCUUUACGUGCAUGAUAAAUUAUAAGAUGUACAGAUUGAGAAAAAAUGGUCAACGAGAAAUUAACCGCAAAGUGCCUUAAUUGUGCAUGUGCGCUUAUAUCUGCCAUAUCUGCAAUGAACAUCGUCAUUAUUUAGUAUUCUACCAAUUUAUAUUCAUAUGUACGCAUAUGUGUGGGUUAAUGUUAACAAAGAGGUGUGAAAACAUAAUGCAAAGAUCAGACAAUUAUCAAAAAGAAACCGAUAAAUAAGCGUGUAAAAGGAUAAUUGUGCUAAUAGGAAAGGACAGUGGCAAUGACAGCAACAACGUUACAAAUGUUGCCUUCGGGAGUCGUGUAAAGCUUGCACAAUUAAUUUAUUUGUAAAAAUAAAGUGCAAUAAAAAUGUGAAAAAAUACUUUCAGCUGAGUUUUAUACAAACUUUCUGGUGGAGAUGGUGAUGAUGAAAACGUAUUGUGUGCUGAUAGUGACAAUUGCUUCAUUUAAACUCCUUAAUGGCAGCAAUUUAAUAAUAAAUUGAAAGCAAAAGAAAAAAGGGAAAAAAUUAUCUGGAUUUUGACUCUUGAAAAAUGUAUGGCAAUAAACAAGAAAGCAGAGCUGCAGAAAGGAUUGUAUUCGGAUUGCACGUUAAAACUAAGCAUUUUAAGCCUCAUAAUACGUUUCCAGGCUUCCCCUUGCGUUCUAUGAUCUUCAAUGUAAAGUACAUGUCGCUACCAUCAGCAGCAUAAAACCAGUCAUCUAGAUAACAACAUCAGCACCAUCACUUGCAGCCGCGUCAACAUUCCAACCAGUCGUUAUAAACAAAUAUAUAUGCUCGUAAACGCGGUCUUUCGCUAUCAUUUAUGGAGAGAAUACUUUCGCUUCCUCCAUACCUAAGAGAUAUUCAUAGUUUUCCUUUUACAAGUGGUUUUGAUCCUCGUUUGGUUACAAAAUUACUCUACAAUUACCGGGCGUUGCCCUCCAUAGUGAAUGUUUAUAAUGGACUGUUUUACAAUGCGGAACUGGUACCAACUAUAAGAGAAGAGAAUUCUAGAGAAGCUAAUAUGCUGAAACAGCUUGACAAUUUACUCCCGCAAUCUGCAAGUCGUCCAAAACACAUGGCAUAUUCUUCUGCGGAAUACAAAGUGAAAAUAUGCAGGAAAAAGACUCGCCGUCAUAGUAUAAUCCUUACGAAGCGAAGGAAAUCUUCCUAAUGACAGUUAAGAUGUAUCGUAAUAACAUUAAAGCUGAAUCCAUCCGUACAUGAAACAGGUUAAACAUUUGCGAAAACUGUUUGAUGAUGCCGACGUAGCAAUGCCUAAAAUUGGCAAUGUGGAGGAAUUCCAAGGACAGGAACGCGAUAGAGUGAGAUCAAGCAUGGAGCAUGUACGUAACAUAUGCACCAUGGAUUAGGAUUCAUACAAAACGAAAGGUCAACCAAACUCGCAAUUUCUCGGCCUCGUUGCCUUCUUAUGAUAUACGGCAACCCCGACACACUCUUUUUGGAUCCUCGUUGGCAUAUGAUCAUAAAUUACUGCGCCGAUAAUGAUGCCUACCUCGGUUGUGAUUUACCGGCAACGUUGUCUGACCCACCAACACUAGCCGAAGGAACAGUUAAUACUCAAGAUAAUUAAUUACUUUUGGCCUU